AUUAAUUGUAUUCUGAACCACUAAAAUACUAAGAAAUACUACAAUACUUUCUUCCAGUAAUAAUACUCCUUCAUCAACUGAUAUUAAUAGUGUGCAACCAUGCACUCUCAAAAGACUGCUCAAAAUACAAUAAUUUCAUCUAAUACCAAAAAUAACAGACUUCAUUCCAAUCAAUCUGAAUUCACAUAAUUUUUGUAAUCACAAACUUCCUCUGUCAAAACACACACAGCUCUCAAUAAACUACAAUCAUAAUCUUCCAAUAACUCUUCAUAUAAUUCAAUAACUCAGUGCUCUAAUUACAUAAUCAAUAACUCAUAAAUCAAUCUCUGAUUUAUUCCAUAGACUUACUUCACAGUAUUCAAAAACUAUCUAUUACUUUUCAACAAUAAAAAAACAAAGAAACAAAGAGGUAGCACCAAACUUAUCCCGACUCAUGACUAUCACAGUCUGGCACUUAGACUAACUUCUACAACUUCUAUAUACUUACUUCUUAUUCCUAGAUCCUAAUCAUAAUCCUUUUAAUAACUAAAUUAACCAUUUGUCUUCUU
This 548-nucleotide long non-coding RNA is filed under the name Physcomitrium patens. RNAcentral's name for it is "long non-coding RNA (PPAT_LNC001111)". Lineage: Eukaryota; Viridiplantae; Streptophyta; Bryopsida; Funariales; Funariaceae. The record is from RNAcentral.